Molecule: long non-coding RNA, 354 nt
Organism: Molossus molossus (Pallas's mastiff bat)
Lineage: Eukaryota; Metazoa; Chordata; Mammalia; Chiroptera; Molossidae
Exons: 3
Source: RefSeq, a predicted model, not a curated record
CAGCAAUUGAAUUCCAAUACUCUAUUAUAUUUUCCCUCAACUCAGUGAACUCUCCUGCCAACGAAUAUUCAUGGAUAAGAAUUCUGGCAAGUUGAUGAUCACAUGAAGAGACGCCAGAGGAACCAAGAAACACUUUUGGAGAACACUGCAUUCAGAACCUGGGAAAAGGAGACUGAGGAGAAGAGAGGAAGAGAUAGGACACAUGGAGAGACACCAGUGAAACGGGUGCUAGCAGAAAGACCGCAUGAAGAGGCAGUGGAAAGAGACCAUCUGCAAGCCAGGAGAGAGGUCUCCCCAACACCUGACCUUGGACUUCCAAUCCCCAGGACUGUGAGAACAUAAAUGUCUGCUGUU